GAUGAACGCUGGCGGCGUGCCUAAUACAUGCAAGUCGAGCGAACAGACGAUGAGCUUGCUCCGCUGACGUUAGCGGCGGACGGGUGAGUAACACGUGGAUAACCUACCUAUAAGACUGGUAUAACUUCGGGAAACCGGAGCUAAUACCGUAUGAUAUAUUGCACCGCAUGGUUCAUUAGUGAAAGACGGCGUUGCUGUCACUUAUAGAUGGAUCUGCGCCGCAUUAGCUAGUUGGUAAGUUAACGGCUUACCAAGGCAAGGAUGCGUAGCCGCAAGGCUGGGGUGAGUGGCCACACUGGAAGUGAGACCGGGUCCAGAGUCCCAGAGGUAGGACCAGUAGGGAAACUUCCGGAAUGGGCGAAAAACUGACGGAGCAACGCCGAGUGAUUGAUGAACGUCGUCGGAUCCUAAAACUCUGUUAUUAGGGAAGAACCAGUGUGCAAGUAUCAAUGCACGUCAUGACGGUAAAUAAUCAGAGAAGCACCGCUUAAUUAGGU
Molecule: ribosomal RNA, 497 nt
Filed under: uncultured bacterium
Lineage: Bacteria
Description: partial 16S ribosomal RNA
Rfam family: Bacterial small subunit ribosomal RNA
Source: RNAcentral